This 389-nucleotide ribosomal RNA is filed under the name uncultured bacterium. RNAcentral describes it as "bacterial SSU rRNA". It matches the Rfam family "Bacterial small subunit ribosomal RNA", at positions 28 to 419 of the family's 1533-position model. The record is from RNAcentral.
GACGAACGCUGGCGGCGUGCUUAACACAUGCAAGUCGAGCGGUAAGGCCCUUUCGGGGGUACACGAGCGGCGAACGGGUGAGUAACACGUGGGUGACCUGCCCUCAGCUCUGGGAUAAGCCUGGGAAACUGGGUCUAAUACUGGAUAUGACUCCACGGUGCAUGUCGUGGGGUGGAAAGCCUUGUGCGGCUGAGGAUGGGCCCGCGGCCUACCAGCUUGUUGGUGGGGUGAUGGCCUACCAAGGCGACGACGGUAGCCGGCCUGAGAGGGCGACCGGCCACACUGGGACUGAGACACGGCCCAGACUCCUACGGGAGGCAGCAGUGGGGAAUAUUGGACAAUGGGCGAAAGCCUGAUCCAGCAAUGCCGCGUGUGUGAAGAAGGCCUGC